RNAcentral lists this ribosomal RNA (440 nucleotides) under uncultured bacterium. Its description in RNAcentral is "partial 16S ribosomal RNA". It matches the Rfam family "Bacterial small subunit ribosomal RNA", at positions 338 to 795 of the family's 1533-position model. The record is from RNAcentral.
CCUACGGGAGGCAGCAGUGGGGAAUAUUGCACAAUGGGCGAAACCCUGAUGCAGCGACGCCGCGUGAAGGAAGAAGGAUUUCGGUAUGUAAACUUCUAUCAGCAGGGAAGAAAAUGACGGUACCUGACUAAGAAGCCCCGGCUAACUACGUGCCAGCAGGCGCGGUAAUACGUAGGGGGCAAGCGUUAUCCGGAUGUACUGGGUGUAAAGGGAGCGUAGGCGGUUUAGCAAGUCAGAAGUGAAAGCCCGGGGCUCAACUCCGGGACGGCUUUUGAAACUGUGGAACUAGAGUGCAGGAGAGGUAAGUGGAAUGCCUGGUGUAGCGGUGAAAUGCGUAGAUAUUAGGAGGAACACCAGUGGCGAAGGCGGCUUACUGGACUGUAAAUGACGCUGAGGCUCGAAAGCGUGGGGAGCAAACAGGAUUAGAUACCCCAGUAGUC